RNAcentral lists this non-coding RNA (145 nucleotides) under Otolemur garnettii (small-eared galago). Lineage: Eukaryota; Metazoa; Chordata; Mammalia; Primates; Galagidae. The record is from Rfam by way of RNAcentral.
GCCAGGUGUUGUGGUGGACGCCUGUAGUCCCAGCUACUUGGGAGGCAGAGGCAGGAGACUCACUUGAGCCCAGGAGUUGGAGGUUGCUGUGAGCUGAGAUGGCACAGCACUCUACCCAGGGUGACAUAGUGAGAGUCUGUCUCAA